CCUACAGGAGGCAGCAGUGGGGAAUAUUGCACAAUGGGGGGAACCCUGAUGCAGCGACGCCGCGUGAGUGAAGAAGUAUUUCGGUAUGUAAAGCUCUAUCAGCAGGGAAGAAAAUGACGGUACCUGACUAAGAAGCCCCGGCUAACUACGUGCCAGCAGCCGCGGUAAUACGUAGGGGGCAAGCGUUAUCCGGAUUUACUGGGUGUAAAGGGAGCGCAGACGGCUGUGCAAGUCUGGAGUGAAAGGCGGGGGCCCAACCCCCGGACUGCACUGGAAACUGUAAAGCUGGAGUGCAGGAGAGGUAAGCGGAAUUCCUAGUGUAGCGGUGAAAUGCGUAGAUAUUAGGAGGAACACCAGUGGCGAAGGCAGCUUACUAGACUGCAACUGACGUUGAGGCUCGAAAGCGUGGGGAGCAAACAGGAUUAGAUACCCCGGUAGUC
RNAcentral lists this ribosomal RNA (440 nucleotides) under uncultured bacterium. RNAcentral describes it as "partial 16S ribosomal RNA". It matches the Rfam family "Bacterial small subunit ribosomal RNA", at positions 338 to 795 of the family's 1533-position model. The record is from RNAcentral.